GAUGAACGCUGGCGGCGUGCCUAAUACAUGCAAGUCGAGCGAAAAGACGAGGCACUUGCUCCUCUCGCUUUCGCGGCGGACAGGUGUGUAACACGUGGAUAACCUACCUAUAAGACUGGGAUAACUUAGGGAAACCGGAGCUAAUACCGGCUAAUCUAUUGAACCGCAAGGUUCAAUAGUGACAGACGGUUUUGCUGUCACUUAUCGAUGGAUCCGCGCCGCAUUAGCUAGUUGGUCAGGUAACGGCUUACCAAGGCCACGAUGCGUAGCCGACCUGAGCGGGUUAUCGGCCACACUGGAACUGAGACACGGUCCAGACUCCUACGGGAGGCAGCAGUAGGGAAUCUUCCGCAAUGGGCGAAAGCCUGACGGAGCAACGCCGCGUGAUUGAUGAAGGUCUUCGGAUCGUAAAACUCUGUUAUUAGGGAAGAACAAAUGUGUAAUUAACUAUUCACGUCUUGACGGUACCUAAUCAGAAAGCCACGGCUAACUACGUG
This 497-nucleotide ribosomal RNA is filed under the name uncultured bacterium. Its description in RNAcentral is "partial 16S ribosomal RNA". It matches the Rfam family "Bacterial small subunit ribosomal RNA", at positions 28 to 507 of the family's 1533-position model. The record is from RNAcentral.